This 152-nucleotide ribosomal RNA is filed under the name Pseudomonas aeruginosa. RNAcentral describes it as "partial 16S ribosomal RNA". The stretch from base 41 to 152 matches the Rfam family "Bacterial small subunit ribosomal RNA", at positions 1 to 111 of the family's 1533-position model. Lineage: Bacteria; Pseudomonadati; Pseudomonadota; Gammaproteobacteria; Pseudomonadales; Pseudomonadaceae. The record is from RNAcentral.
UGAGCCAAGUUUAGGGUUUUCUCAAAACCCAAGCAGUAUUGAACUGAAGAGUUUGAUCAUGGCUCAGAUUGAACGCUGGCGGCAGGCCUAACACAUGCAAGUCGAGCGGAUGAAGGGAGCUUGCUCCUGGAUUCAGCGGCGGACGGGUGAGU